Molecule: long non-coding RNA, 85 nt
Organism: Cucurbita maxima (winter squash)
Lineage: Eukaryota; Viridiplantae; Streptophyta; Magnoliopsida; Cucurbitales; Cucurbitaceae
Exons: 3
Source: RefSeq, a predicted model, not a curated record
CUCCGAUUAGCAGACACAACAGCGCGCGAAGGAACUCAAUCGGAUGGGAGACUCCCCAAAGAACUCCCUCGCCCAUCUACUCUGC